GGUUCCAGAGUGUAGCGGUUAGCACAUCUGCUUUACACGCAGAAGAUCCUGGGUUCGUGCCCCAGUGGAGCCA
Molecule: non-coding RNA, 73 nt
Organism: Pteropus alecto (black flying fox)
Lineage: Eukaryota; Metazoa; Chordata; Mammalia; Chiroptera; Pteropodidae
Source: Rfam